GCGGGUAUAGCUCAGUGGUAGAGCACAUGCUUAGCGUGCAUGAGGUACUGGGUACUGGGUUCAAUCCCCAGUACCUCCA
This 79-nucleotide transfer RNA is filed under the name Camelus bactrianus (Bactrian camel). It matches the Rfam family "tRNA". Rfam says of the family: Transfer RNA (tRNA) molecules are approximately 80 nucleotides in length. Lineage: Eukaryota; Metazoa; Chordata; Mammalia; Artiodactyla; Camelidae. The record is from Rfam by way of RNAcentral. RNAcentral also lists the same sequence under 1 other name.